This 40-nucleotide small nuclear RNA is filed under the name Cervus elaphus hippelaphus. Lineage: Eukaryota; Metazoa; Chordata; Mammalia; Artiodactyla; Cervidae. The record is from RNAcentral.
AUCACUUCCUAGCCUUUUGGCUAAGAUCAAGUAGAGAAUC